GACGAACGCUGGCGGCGUGCCUAACACAUGCAAGUCGAGCGAAUGAAGUUCCUUCGGGAACGGAUUUAGCGGCGGACGGGUGAGUAACACGUGGGCAACCUGCCUCAUAGAGGGGAAUAGCCUUCCGAAAGGGAGAUUAAUACCGCAUAAGAUUGUAGUACCGCAUGGUACAGCAAUUAAAGGAGCAAUCCGCUAUGAGAUGGGCCCGCGGCGCAUUAGCUAGUUGGUGAGGUAACGGCUCACCAAGGCGACGGAUGCGUAGCCGACCUGAGAGGGUGAUCGGCCACAUUGGGACUGAGACACGGGCCCAGACUCCUACGGGAGGCAGCAGUGGGGAAUAUUGCACAAUGGGGGAAACCCUGAUGCAGCAACGCCGCGUGAGUGAUGACGGCCUC
RNAcentral lists this ribosomal RNA (395 nucleotides) under uncultured bacterium. RNAcentral's name for it is "bacterial SSU rRNA". It matches the Rfam family "Bacterial small subunit ribosomal RNA", at positions 28 to 418 of the family's 1533-position model. The record is from RNAcentral.